Molecule: long non-coding RNA, 373 nt
Organism: Amphimedon queenslandica
Lineage: Eukaryota; Metazoa; Porifera; Demospongiae; Haplosclerida; Niphatidae
Exons: 2
Source: RefSeq, a predicted model, not a curated record
AAAUAAACAGACAUACGAUAUGUAUAAUAAAUAUCUUUAGGUGAAAGUAUUUGUAGAGAAACAGUCUGGUAGAAAAUUUACGGAGUUCAAGGCCAUUUCAUUUCGCUCUCAAGUGGUAGAAGGAGUGAAUUACAUUAUUAAAGUAUGUGUUGGUGAUGGUCAAAAUGAUUACAUAAUGUUGCGUGUCCAUGAGAAUCUUGAUGGAGGGGUAACUCUCCUUGCCUACCAAUUGGACAAGACAAAGGAUGACCCAAUUCUGAUUAAUUUCUGAUCAUUAUUUUUUGCUGUUACAUACAUGUAACUGAUUUAAUCAAUUCUAAAUUCUAAAUGUCAUUACCUGUGUACUUAAGAGCUGUACUACUUAUGCUGAAAA